Molecule: ribosomal RNA, 269 nt
Filed under: Clostridioides difficile
Lineage: Bacteria; Bacillati; Bacillota; Clostridia; Peptostreptococcales; Peptostreptococcaceae
Description: partial 23S ribosomal RNA
Rfam family: Bacterial large subunit ribosomal RNA
Source: RNAcentral
CUUUUUGUAGAACGGGCCAACGAGUUACGUUAAGUAGCAAGGUUAAGCACUUAAGGUGCGGAGCCGUAGCGAAAGCGAGUUUUAACUGAGCGUUCAGUUAUUUGACGUAGACCCGAAACCGGGCGACCUACCCAUGAGCAGGAUGAAGCGAAAGUAAAAUUUCGUGGAGGUCCGAACCCACGAGCGUUGAAAAGCUCGGGGAUGACUUGUGGGUAGCGGUGAAAUUCCAAUCGAGCCCGGAGAUAGCUGGUUCUCCCCGAAAUAGCUUU